UACGAAGGGUGCUAGCGUUGUUCGGAAUAACUGGGCGUAAAGGGCGUGUAGGCGGUUUUAUGCGUCAGAUGUGAAAGUCCUGGGCUCAACCUGGGGACGGCAUUUGAUACGGUAAGACUAGAGGUUAUGAGAGGAAGGCGGAAUUGUGCGUGUAGGAGUGAAAUCCGUAGAGAUGCACAGGAACACCAGUUGCGAAGGCGGCCUUCUGGUAUUAACCUGACGCUAAGGCGCGAAAGCGUGGGGAGCAAACAGG
RNAcentral lists this ribosomal RNA (253 nucleotides) under uncultured bacterium. Its description in RNAcentral is "partial 16S ribosomal RNA". It matches the Rfam family "Bacterial small subunit ribosomal RNA", at positions 524 to 776 of the family's 1533-position model. The record is from RNAcentral.